CCUACGGGAGGCAGCAGUGGGGAAUAUUGCGCAAUGGGCGAAAGCCUGACGCAGCAACGCCGCGUGGGGGAUGAAGGCCUUCGGGUUGUAAACCCCUUUCAGCAGGGACGAAGCGAAAGUGACGGUACCUGCAGAAGAAGCGCCGGCUAACUACGUGCCAGCAGCCGCGGUAAUACGUAGGGCGCAAGCGUUGUCCGGAAUCAUUGGGCGUAAAGAGCUCGUAGGUGGUCUGUUACGUCUGCUGUGAAAACCUAGGGCUUAACCCUGGGCCUGCAGUGGAUACGGGCAGACUAGAGGUAGGUAGGGGAGAAUGGAAUUCCCGGUGUAGCGGUGAAAUGCGCAGAUAUCGGGAGGAACACCGGUGGCGAAGGCGGUUCUCUGGGCCUUACCUGACACUGAGGAGCGAAAGCGUGGGGAGCGAACAGGAUUAGAUACCCUGG
RNAcentral lists this ribosomal RNA (440 nucleotides) under uncultured bacterium. RNAcentral describes it as "bacterial SSU rRNA". It matches the Rfam family "Bacterial small subunit ribosomal RNA", at positions 338 to 790 of the family's 1533-position model. The record is from RNAcentral.